RNAcentral lists this ribosomal RNA (497 nucleotides) under uncultured bacterium. RNAcentral describes it as "partial 16S ribosomal RNA". It matches the Rfam family "Bacterial small subunit ribosomal RNA", at positions 28 to 507 of the family's 1533-position model. The record is from RNAcentral.
GAUGAACGCUGGCGGCGUGCCUAAUACAUGCAAGUCGAGCGAACAGACGAGGAGCUUGCUCCUCUGACGUUAGCGGCGGACAGGGGAGUAACACGUGGAUAACCAACUUAUAAGACUGGGUUAAUUUCGGGAAACCGGAGCUAAUACCGGAUAAUAUUUUGAACCUCUUGGUUCAUUAGUCAAGGACGGUUUUGCUGUCACUGAUGGAUGGAUCCGCGCCGCAUUAGCUAGUUGGUAAGGUAACGGCUUACCAAGGCAACGAUGCGUAGCCGACCUGAGAGGGUGGGCGGCCACACUGGAACUGAGACACGGUCCAGACUCCUACGGGAGGCAGCAGUAGGGAAUCUUCCGCGAUGGGCGAAAGCCUGACGGAGCAACGCCGCGUGAGUGAUGAAGGUCUUCGGAUCGUAAAACUCUGUUAUUAGGGAAGAACAAAUGUGUAAGUAACUAGGCACGUCUUGAAGGUACCUAAUCAGAAAGCCACGGCUAACUACGUG